Molecule: long non-coding RNA, 2807 nt
Organism: Glycine soja
Lineage: Eukaryota; Viridiplantae; Streptophyta; Magnoliopsida; Fabales; Fabaceae
Exons: 7
Source: RefSeq, a predicted model, not a curated record
CCUUCUUUGAUUGACAGUUUUUGCAAAGUCAUUUUUGAUUUUAUGCUAACAAGUAGGGUUUUAUCAAGACCGUCUUUAACUUUACACAUAUACUCUAGAAAUUUGAUUCUCUACGCACGAACCCCUUACUCUCGUGCUGCGACUUGCAACAACCAGACCUGGAGAAGACCCGGUUCAGAGAAAAUAAAUGACCCGGUUCACAACCCUAUUGGGCCUAACCCUAUUUCGACUUCGGCUUUGGGCACUCAAUUUUAACCUUUGAUGUUAUAUUUAUUGUAUUGUAUCUCAGUUGUCAAAUGGUAAGGUCUUUCUACAAGAACAAAUAGGGUGAAAUUGCGUAACCUUCUUGCUGCUGCAGAGGGUGCAGAUCUUUUGAAGGCACGAAAGAAGCAUUUGCGUUUUCAAAGGAGCAAGAUUAUUUUGGUUGGAGAAACCUAAUAAUUAUUUUGCUUUGAAAAUUAGGAAAUAAUUUAUUUUUAAUUUUUGGAGCACUAUUAUUUAAAAACAAAUUUGUAUUAAUAGUUGAUCGUGAAUCUUAAUUGGUCUUCUUAUUUGCGUUUCAAUUCUUGAUUUGACUACCAUGCCAUGGUCAAUAUUGUAUUUUGAAUAUAGUUUUUUUUAUUGGAUCAAUUAACUGAUAUUAUUGUUUCUCACUGAUAUACGUGAACGUAAGUAUGAGAAGAUGGGAAUUGGAAGCAGUUACCUUUUUAGACUUGAUGAUGGUUAUGUGGUUAGUAUAUAUUGUUGUAGUAUUUAAAUUUUAGAUUUUGGAAGUUUCACUUAUCUUGCUUCUCUAAGGUAAUUAUAGAGUCAUUGCUAUUUGAAAUGUAAUGAAGUUUAUGGUAAAGCCAACAUUUCUACGAAGGGGCUAGUGGAUGGUUAACUAAAUAGAUAGUUGUGGUUUUCUUAAUAUGAUCAUUGGGUGAUUCAUCAAGACAUCAUCGCCACUUGACUUUGAGAACUAAAAUAGAUAGUUGUGGUUUUCUUAUUUGGCUCGCACAGACUCUUUUUGUAAGGCAAUCUAGAGUUCCAGACACAUGAUAACUGUUUUAUGACUGGUUAGACCACUACAUAAGCUUAAAUAAGACCUAAUAAACAAAAAUCUUAUCCAAAUGAAGUGUUAGAUUACAUUUAUUUUUGCAUGUCUGCUAAUUAAUAUUCUCUAGAUAAAGUGUAUAUUGAUAAAUUCGAAUCCAAUGACAACUAUUGAAAUGCUACAUUUGCUUUCCUUGUUUGAGUAUAUGUAGGUUGAUGCUACUAAGAGAGGUAGGAUUGCAAGAUUACCACUCUUGUGAGGUACUUGUGUACUUUUAAAUGCAUUUUUUUUAUCCACACAUUUAAGGAAGUAUUUUGGGCAUAUGCAUGUGUCACUUCUAUUCUUCAUUUCACGUUCUUCCUGAUUUGAACUAGAGUUUUUGGCAGCCCAACUGCUAUACAAAGGUUAUAUCUGUUGAGGGUCAAAAGAAAAUUUUCAUAUAUGCGAAAUGGCAUCGCUAAGUUUGCUUGUGAUAUUUUAUUUUCAGGUAGGUGACAAUUUUAUAAUUAUAUUUUAACAUUAAAUAGUCACAAAAAAUGUUCUCUCAAACCAAAUAGGCUCUAAUAUUGGGUGCCUCCAGCCAUCCUCUGUAAUAUGUUUUAACUGUUAGUACUCUUCUCUCUGAAAACAAUAGAUGGAUCUUUGUCUUCUGAUGCAUCCAAUGUUUGAUGGGAUUGAUUUUAGUUUUAGAGGCCUUUGUAUAAUAUUUGCUAAAAAGAUAGUGGCUAGAAGGUUUGGGGUUGACAAACAAGCAACUCUUGAUGAAUGAAAUUUGUUUCCAAUGGCCACCAAGCAUUUUGCCUUCAAUAUUUCUCUGCUAUUCCCUUGUUUAUUGUUUCCAUGAUUUUCCUGAAUCCUUGUCCCUAUCUUAUAGGAAAAUGCUAAACAAUAUGAUUUGUGUCAUAAGGACACUAAUUAAGGAAGUAAAAAGAAAAAAUAUUUUAUUAGAAUGUGUCAAAAUGCGUUCUCGCUCUCACAUGAUGUUCAAUAAAAACUUAUCUUGUAUAUGCCAUGGUUUGACUUGGGAUACCUUUUGAAAUUAACCCUAUAUAUAUGUAUGCAAUUGGCUAAGGUAAGUAAGUAAUAUCCAAGCCAUAACUCAAGUACAGCGUUGAUGACCUUAAUAGCAGCAAUACAAGCCAUAGUCUAUGCCUUCUGUUUUGAGACAGAUUUGAGUCAAUGGAAGUUGGGUUCAGGUAUCAGGCUUCUAAUAGCACUUUAUACGGGAAUUGUGGCUACUGGAUUAGUGAACAUUGCCACUUCAUGGUGUGUACCGAACAGAGGUCCAUUGCUUGCAUCUAUUUUCUACCCCCUUUGCCCUGUGCUCGUGGCUUUUGCUAGUUCCCUGUUAUUACAAGAGCACCUAUACUUAGGAAGAAGUACCAGAAGUACAACUGCAGUGCAGUGGAGACCACCUGUCCAAUUAACGACACUCAGAACUAUCAGGAAUGUUCCAGAUUAAAAGCAAGGGUAGAAGUUUUGCAACGUUCUCAGAGGAACCUAUCCGGGGAAGAUCUUGCCCAAAUGACCUAGAGCAACUUGAGAAUCAACUGGAGGCAGCACUGAGGAAUAUUAGGUCAACAAAGACUCAAUUCAUGCUUGACCAGCUUUCUGAUCUUCAUCACCGGGUAGAUGUGUGUUUUUUCUUCCUUAGAACAUUCUGAUACCGUCCUAUUCUUUGGUGUAACCUUGGCUUUUACAAAUUCAAUGCUGGAAACAUUGCUUAUUGAAACCAAUAAUGUGUUAAGGAGUAAGGUAAUAAUUAUUUCCA